GUGCUCACUCCGGCAGCACAAGUACUAAAACGGGAACAGUCCAGAGACGGUCAGCACGGCCCCUGUGCGAGGCUGACACACAAAUUCCUGAAGCGUUCCAUAAAAAA
Small nuclear RNA from Molossus molossus (Pallas's mastiff bat), 107 nucleotides. Lineage: Eukaryota; Metazoa; Chordata; Mammalia; Chiroptera; Molossidae. The record is from RefSeq and is a predicted model, not a curated record.